Molecule: long non-coding RNA, 251 nt
Filed under: Nicotiana benthamiana
Lineage: Eukaryota; Viridiplantae; Streptophyta; Magnoliopsida; Solanales; Solanaceae
Description: long non-coding RNA (NBEN_LNC017621)
Source: RNAcentral
AGACAUAUGAGAGCUGUCCAUCCUAUAGAAUGGGUCAAUAAUGAUGCUAAUCCUGUAGCUUCUGGUAGUACUAGUAAUAAUGAUCACCCGACUUCUAAUUGUAAAAGAAGAAGUCGGGUAUGGAAUUUUUUUGAAAUAAUAGAAGGUACUACUAGUAUUAAGUGCAAAAAACUUUUCAACAUUUGACAGAAGGAAAUUUAGGAGGGACUGGACCAUUUACAAGACAUAUGAGAGCUGUCCAUCCUAUAGAA